Molecule: long non-coding RNA, 723 nt
Organism: Peromyscus californicus insignis
Lineage: Eukaryota; Metazoa; Chordata; Mammalia; Rodentia; Cricetidae
Exons: 3
Source: RefSeq, a predicted model, not a curated record
GGCCUGCCCUGGCCGAGCGCAUGGGGAGCAGAGGAAGAGGGGCGCCAAUCUGCUUUUUCCAGGACAGUCCGCUGCUGCAAGCCGGUCCUCAGGAACUUACCUCUUCUGCGUAUGUAUCCUCCAAAAAAUGAGUGUACGGACCAGUCUCCAUCACCACAGGCCUCCUGGGAAGAGCAGCCUACUGGUUCCUUGUUUGUGUAUCCUGCAUUUGGUGUAAACAGCUAGAAAGCAAGGAUGUAAAACAUCUGUAGCGAACUUCUGCCCUCCGGGGUUCUCCCACUGUGCUGUAAGCCUGUAUUUAAGGCCUCCUCCCUCCUUCAAUAAACGGCAUUCUACUGAGACCAAUGACCCGCUGUCUUGUCUCUGAUUUUAAUCCUCAGCCCCUCGCUCAGACAUGGUGAAUGGGUAGUAUCGUGGGUGCUACACCUCCGUGGCCUCGUCCUGUCUCCCAAAGCUGCCCUGUCUUCAUAGCCCAUGGAGAACCAACAGAGCCUCAGACCAUAAACCCCAAGCCCCACUGUGCAUGUGUUGCUGCUCAUUUCGGAAGAGAAAAUCCCUCCCUUCCUUCAGAACCUCCCAAAAGCCGUUGUUUCCUUCGGGGUCUUAGCUGCUGCUUCUGAAACUGACCUCUCCACCGCAGCUCAGACACAGAAAGUAAACCUGGCGGGGUGCUGAGUGGGGAGGGUCCUGACGUCCAUGGUUACAUCCAGGCCUGAAGUGGAG